Molecule: ribosomal RNA, 492 nt
Filed under: uncultured bacterium
Lineage: Bacteria
Description: partial 16S ribosomal RNA
Rfam family: Bacterial small subunit ribosomal RNA
Source: RNAcentral
AGUGAACGCUGGCGGUAGGCCUAACACAUGCAAGUCGAACGGCAGCACAGUAAGAGCUUGCUCUUACGGGUGGCGAGUGGCGGACGGGUGAGGAAUACAUCGGACUCUACUUUUUCGUGGGGGAUAACGUAGGUAAACUUACGCUAAUACCGCAUACGACCUACGGGUGAAAGCAGGGGAUCCUCGGACCUUGCGCGAUUGAAUGAGCCGAUGUCGGAUUAGCUAGUUGGCGGGGUAAAGGCCCACCAAGGCGACGAUCCGUAGCUGGUCUGAGAGGAUGAUCAGCCACACUGGAACUGAGACACGGUCCAGACUCCUACGGGAGGCAGCAGUGGGGAAUAUUGGACAAUGGGCGCAAGCCUGAUCCAGCCAGACCGCGUGGGUGAAGAAGGCCUUCGGGUUGUAAAGCCCUUUUGUUGGGAAAGAAAAGCAGCAGGUUAAUACCCCGCUGUUCUGACGGUACCCAAAGAAUAAGCACCGGCUAACUUCGUG